RNAcentral lists this long non-coding RNA (1846 nucleotides) under Triticum aestivum (bread wheat). RNAcentral's name for it is "long non-coding RNA (TAES_LNC017764)". The record is from RNAcentral. Lineage: Eukaryota; Viridiplantae; Streptophyta; Magnoliopsida; Poales; Poaceae.
CGCUCGCCACCUGUGAGAUCCCGUGGGAUCUAUCAUCUCCCUCGCCGGUAAAAGCUCCUCCACCUCACCUGCUGGCCGAACCCUCUCCCUCUCCUCCCUUCCAAAGCCGACAGCCAAGGAGGCUCGUGCCAACAAAAAUCAGAGAGGAGCUUGCCUGUGUUUACAAAUCAAGGUGGGGAGCUUGAGAUCCAGCGCCACCUGCCGGAUCGACGAAUGAAGCUCGGGAUCCAGCGGCUAGGAGCAGCACCCUUGCUACACAUCUUCCCCAGCUCAUCUCCCGACGAGGACCGUGGUGGCUGCCUCCAACAACGCCAGUCGAUGGGCUCCCCAGCUGCACCACAUCCUCAGGUCGCCGUCUCCUACAACCGGCAACGCUGAUCCGCGCGGGGAGGGCCUGGAUCCCGCGCGUUGUGGCCACACGGCAAUGCGGGGUAUGAAGGUUGCUACACCCCACUUCGCGAUGGACAGAGGGAGGGGAAGCUCCUCCGUCGGGCGUUCGCCGGCUCGCAGGUGAGCCGCCCCAUGUGUCCCGCUUUUUCCGGCGUCCCUUCUCAGCUGCGGGAGCAGCAGUGGCUGCGUCGUCGUGCAGUUCACUAGCUGGUGCACACUCAUGGGUGAUUUAUAUAUUCUCUUUGAGUAUGGCGUGAUAGGCCAUGUAUUUCUUCCUGGUUCGAGUUAAUGAUUCGAGCCGUCAGAAUGUCAUUUGGUUCAUUGGUCUGUUUUUGCAGGUUUUGUGAAUUCCAUCUGAAGAGGUACUUUGAGUAUAAUAUCAUUUCAGGCAUAACUCAUAUAGAUUUCUCCUUCUUUUGCUGUCACUUUGUUACUGCUAGCCGAAUUAGAAUCCCAUGGCGUGGCUAAAUUCAUGAUAGAAUCGCCAAUAGUCUUAAUUCCCCACACAACUAUACAGUUAAAUACAUCAAAAUAUAUGCAGGUAAUCUUAUUUGACAAUAGUAGAGUUGUGUGGAUUUGUUGCAAUACGAAUCUGAUGCCUAUGGCUGAGUAUAGAUCUGCAUAACACUAUUUUAUUUAUGAAGCAUCGUUGGUGUAUUUGUGUCCUCUUUUACUAUUAUUAAUGCAUGAGCGAAUCUACGAGUGAGGAUGCUCUUUUUAAAAUCGUUUUGCAUAACCUAUAUGGUGCAGACUCAUGUUAAGAUUCUUUCCAAGUCUGACAUUUGUGAUCUUUCUAAGCAUUUGGAGUUUUUUCUAAGAGGAUCCCUUGAAGUUUUAUUUCCAAAGUACAAACACACUAUUUGAACAACAUAUAGGCAGUUUAACAGUGUGAUACUAAGUUUUCGAACCUGGCCAGCUUAGAUGUACAUCACUCUGAGCUAAGAGAAUGAUGGUCGUUGGCUUUAAUAUAACAUAAAGCAGGGUGAAAGCCUUUUUUGGCUAAGAGAGUGAUGGAAGAGUAUAAUGAUUUUAUUCAGGCUCAACGUCCCUAGCAGCGGUUGGACUAUGGAUACUACCAUUUCUCCUGCCCGGCCUGUGAUAUUGGUGCUUGCUCCCCAUACGGACUCACAGUUCUUCUCUCCGACUCCUCGCAAUGGUCGUCGGCAAAUGCCGGAAGGUUACUUAUCAUUUCUCCACCUAUCCGGCGAUUCCCCUGCAAUGUCGUAUGUGUUAUUUCUGUUGUCUAUGUGCAUGUGGGAGGGAAUUUUGGACCUAGGGGGCGUACGCAAUGGCGGAUGUGGUGUUAGCAUGUAUAGAUCUGAAUGGGCCGUAGAAGCACGAGAAGGAGCAGACGGCUCACAUGAAACUAUGACAGAAUAGGCAAACAACCUACCACGACCAACAGAGAAACGGCGCGGCAAAGCGCGUGUGUACAUCUAGUGAUAUUUGAAAGAAG